UGCCAGCCGCCGCGGUAAUACGGAGGGUGCGAGCGUUAAUCGGAAUUACUGGGCGUAAAGCGCGCGUAGGUGGUCUGUUAAGUCGGAUGUGAAAGCCCCGGGCUCAACCUGGGAACUGCGUUUGAAACUGUAAGACUAGAGUGUGUUAGAGGGGGGUAGAAUUCCAUGUGUAGCAGUGAAAUGCAUAGAUAUGUGGAGGAAUACCAAUGGCGAAGGCGGCCUCCUGGCUCGACACUGACACUGAGGCGCGAAAGCGUGGGGAGCAAACAGGAUUAGAUA
Molecule: ribosomal RNA, 279 nt
Filed under: uncultured bacterium
Lineage: Bacteria
Description: partial 16S ribosomal RNA
Rfam family: Bacterial small subunit ribosomal RNA
Source: RNAcentral